CGGGGGGGGCAAGCGUUGUUCGGAAUUACUGGGCGUAAAGGGUUCGUAGGUGGCCCGCUAAGUCACACGUGAAAUCCCUCAGCUUAACUGGGGAACUGCGUGUGAGACUGGCAGGCUUGAGUGCAGGAGAGGAACGCGGAAUUCCAGGUGUAGCGGUGAAAUGCGUAGAUAUCUGGAGGAACACCGGUGGCGAAGGCGGCGUUCUGGACUGUAUCUGACACUGAGGAACGAAAGCCAGGGGAGCAAACGGGAUUAGAUACCCCGGUAGUCCUGGCCCUAAACGAUGAAUGCUUGGUGUGACGGGUAUCGAUCCCUGUCGUGCCGCAGUUAACGCGUUAAGCAUUCCGCCUGGGGAGUACGGUCGCAAGGCUG
RNAcentral lists this ribosomal RNA (372 nucleotides) under uncultured organism. RNAcentral describes it as "bacterial SSU rRNA". It matches the Rfam family "Bacterial small subunit ribosomal RNA", at positions 526 to 896 of the family's 1533-position model. The record is from RNAcentral.